UGUAUCGGAAGCCUGACGAGGAUGAGAACCUCCGGGGGCAAGAGGUUCGACUCGAGCGCAGCGAGAGAACGUUGCGUCAGCAACGGCCCGCAGGGCGA
This 98-nucleotide small RNA is filed under the name Salmonella enterica. RNAcentral describes it as "partial RtT sRNA". It matches the Rfam family "RtT RNA", at positions 1 to 94 of the family's 130-position model. Rfam says of the family: This family represents a bacterial cis-regulatory element known as RtT RNA. The exact function of RtT is unknown although it is thought that it may be involved in changing the cellular response in relation to amino acid starvation. The record is from RNAcentral. Lineage: Bacteria; Pseudomonadati; Pseudomonadota; Gammaproteobacteria; Enterobacterales; Enterobacteriaceae. RNAcentral also lists the same sequence under 2 other names.